AAACUCCAGAUUCCUUACCUCUCAGAUCUAAAUAUGGUCCAAGUGGCUUAAAGAGGAAAAUAAAACUGAAGAGGACUUGGAGUCUUGGGAACCUAUAGGUUCAUUUCAAACAUAU
This 115-nucleotide small nucleolar RNA is filed under the name Echinops telfairi (small Madagascar hedgehog). Its description in RNAcentral is "Small nucleolar RNA SNORA61 (ENSETEG00000026687.1)". Lineage: Eukaryota; Metazoa; Chordata; Mammalia; Afrosoricida; Tenrecidae. The record is from RNAcentral.